UAUUAGCCCCGAUAGAAACGGUUACCCCGCAAUAGGAUUGGGAAAGCUUGAGGGUUUUGGUGUAGGAGAGUUGGGCGAAUGAGGAGUAUGAGUGGAUAGCGGGAAAUAGC
RNAcentral lists this unclassified non-coding RNA (110 nucleotides) under Chryseobacterium indoltheticum. RNAcentral describes it as "Flavo-1 RNA". The record is from RNAcentral. Lineage: Bacteria; Pseudomonadati; Bacteroidota; Flavobacteriia; Flavobacteriales; Weeksellaceae.